AUGUUUUCCUAUUUGACCUUCCCCACGUCUUGAGAGAGGAGUCUCCGUAGAUCUUUGGUCUUCUCCCCCCGUAACAGAAAAUUCCCAAAAUUUCUACCGUGAGAAGCCCUAAAACAAUUCCUCGAUCCGUAAGCUGUGGUGGCGCCUUCCCCUCUGAAUUUGCGCCUAGCUCCAGAUCUCUCUUCACUAUUUUCUAGCGUCGCCUCUUUUCUGAUCUAUUUGGCGUCAAUCAUCAUUCUCACUAAUACUAAUCCAUCUGGUUGACCCUCGUUGGAUUGGAAUUUGGAUCAGUCGUGCAGGAGCAGGGUUCGUGGAUCCUCUAUGGACAGCAAACGCCUACAAGAUCCGCAGCCACACCGACAUCAUCUUCUGGCACGGCAAGGGUGGUUGAGAGUUUGUAGAAGCAUCUAGAGGGGUUCAUGGUGGGGGAGACAUUGGCGCCAACGUUCAUAGUGUAGUGCGACUAGUGCAGCAAUUCAGCGUUGGAGUGGAACAAUGUGUGCUCUCUGCUACUAUUCAUUGUCGGCUCCAGGAUGCACCGCAGGGGUACCACCCGGUUCAGCGAAGCCAUGAGGGGCGUUGCUGCGUGUCUUCCUCGACGUGUUUGACGCGCACCAUGGGAUAUUAGCUUAUGGAUGUGACGGUUUGUCUAGAGCAUAUUUGAUUUCAGUAUACAUACGUUUGAAAAACUGGUCAAUAUUAUUGGCACUAAACCUCUAGUACCAAGCUAGAUUCCUAUGAGGUUAUUUCUAAUUGAAAACAGUUCCCGAAAUAUUGCAGGGCACUAACACAUUUCAUCCGAUGACAACCUAAUGAUAGAUAGUAGCACUCUUAUAAUAGAUGAUUGCCAAGACAAACAGAUAUGCACGGCUCAGAUGUUGAUAGCAAGGUCGAGAGUGAAGCUACUUCUAGAUAGGUCCACAAGUUGUUUUGGAUUUUUCUUUUGCCGAAUCAAUGCUCAAACAUUAUGCUUUACAAUAACUGAGAUGUUGAUAGCAAGGUCGAGAACUGGGCUGCUGGUAGUAGAUAGUUUCACAUCUUAUAAUCUUUGGAUUGUGUUCUUUGUAAUGCAACAGCCAAUUUAAUAAGUGAAAUGUUCUAUUCA
Long non-coding RNA from Triticum aestivum (bread wheat), 1105 nucleotides. RefSeq lists it as uncharacterized. NCBI's taxonomy places the organism in Eukaryota, Viridiplantae, Streptophyta, Magnoliopsida, Poales, Poaceae. The transcript is spliced from 6 exons. The record is from RefSeq and is a predicted model, not a curated record.